This 484-nucleotide ribosomal RNA is filed under the name uncultured bacterium. Its description in RNAcentral is "partial 16S ribosomal RNA". It matches the Rfam family "Bacterial small subunit ribosomal RNA", at positions 30 to 507 of the family's 1533-position model. The record is from RNAcentral.
AUUGAACGCUGGCGGCAGGCCUAACACAUGCAAGUCGAGCGGAUGAAGGGAGCUUGCUCCUGGAUUCAGCGGCGGACGGGUGAGUAAUGCCUAGGAAUCUGCCUGGUAGUGGGGGAUAACGUCCGGAAACGGGCGCUAAUACCGCAUACGUCCUGAGGGAGAAAGUGGGGGAUCUUCGGACCUCACGCUAUCAGAUGAGCCUAGGUCGGAUUAGCUAGUUGGUGGGGUAAAGGCCUACCAAGGCGACGAUCCGUAACUGGUCUGAGAGGAUGAUCAGUCACACUGGAACUGAGACACGGUCCAGACUCCUACGGGAGGCAGCAGUGGGGAAUAUUGGACAAUGGGCGAAAGCCUGAUCCAGCCAUGCCGCGUGUGUGAAGAAGGUCUUCGGAUUGUAAAGCACUUUAAGUUGGGAGGAAGGGCAGUAAGUUAAUACCUUGCUGUAUUGACGUUACCAACAGAAUAAGCACCGGCUAACUUCGUG